This 483-nucleotide ribosomal RNA is filed under the name uncultured bacterium. RNAcentral describes it as "partial 16S ribosomal RNA". It matches the Rfam family "Bacterial small subunit ribosomal RNA", at positions 30 to 506 of the family's 1533-position model. The record is from RNAcentral.
AUUGAACGCUGGCGGCAGGCCUAACACAUGCAAGUCGAGCGGAUGAAGGGAGCUUGCUCCUGGAUUCAGCGGCGGACGGGUGAGUAAUGCCUAGGAAUCUGCCUGGUAGUGGGGGAUAACGUCCGGAAACGGGCGCUAAUACCGCAUACGUCCUGAGGGAGAAAGUGGGGGAUCUUCGGACCUCACGCUAUCAGAUGAGCCUAGGUCGGAUUAGCUAGUUGGUGGGGUAAAGGCCUACCAAGGCGACGAUCCGUAACUGGUCUGAGAGGAUGAUCAGUCACACUGGAACUGAGACACGGUCCAGACUCCUACGGGAGGCAGCAGUGGGGAAUAUUGGACAAUGGGCGAAAGCCUGAUCCAGCCAUGCCGCGUGUGUGAAGAAGGUCUUCGGAUUGUAAAGCACUUUAAGUUGGGAGGAAGGGCAGUAAGUUAAGACCUUGCUGUUUUGACGUUACCAACAGAAUAAGCACCGGCUAACUUCGU